AUACGAAGGGGGCUAGCGUUGCUCGGAAUUACUGGGCGUAAAGGGCGCGUAGGCGGCUCGACCAGUCAGGCGUGAAAUUCCUGGGCUUAACCUGGGGACUGCGCUUGAUACUGUUGAGCUUGAGGCCGAGAGAGGGUGGUGGAAUUCCCAGUGUAGAGGUGAAAUUCGUAGAUAUUGGGAAGAACACCGGUGGCGAAGGCGACCACCUGGCUCGGUACUGACGCUGAGGCGCGACAGCGUGGGGAGC
Molecule: ribosomal RNA, 247 nt
Filed under: uncultured bacterium
Lineage: Bacteria
Description: partial 16S ribosomal RNA
Rfam family: Bacterial small subunit ribosomal RNA
Source: RNAcentral